Amphiprion ocellaris (clown anemonefish) is the source of this 514-nucleotide long non-coding RNA. RefSeq lists it as uncharacterized. The record is from RefSeq and is a predicted model, not a curated record. The transcript is spliced from 2 exons. Lineage: Eukaryota; Metazoa; Chordata; Actinopteri; Pomacentridae.
UGGGCACAAACACAAGCAACACUUUUCUUCACUUUAUUAUCACAUGUGAGGAUGAGUUUAAAUGCGCCUUUCAAACGAGGUGAUAAACAUCUGAGGAAAACUUGAAACGGAGAAAUGUGGAUUCCUUCUCAGACUUGAGGAAACGGACUUCAAAAAUACUUUAAAGAUCCUUGGUCUGGAUCAUUGGGAACAUCUAGUCUGAUGGACUGAGAGCUCCAGAGAACAUGAACAUCCAGCUGUGGUUGUCUGAAGAGUCUUUUCUCCUUCAUCACUGUGAGGAAGAGCAGCACUGAUGUCCUCCUCAUCCUUCCAGUAAUAACAAUAAUGCUGCAGAUUCAGCUCCUCUCUUCGUAAUACAACUUGUCUUGUGAUUGUUCAGUUUUUACAUUUUACUGUAAGCAACACAUUAUUUAUUUCAUCCAUUUAUUAAAUGUGUUUACACAUCUUUACAGUUCAGAAUUGUUAAAUAAUGUAGUUUUUAAAUGUGCAAUAAAGGAAAUAAUGAAGCUCUUGA